This 72-nucleotide transfer RNA is filed under the name Candidatus Woesebacteria bacterium. RNAcentral's name for it is "tRNA-Tyr". It matches the Rfam family "tRNA". Rfam says of the family: Transfer RNA (tRNA) molecules are approximately 80 nucleotides in length. The record is from RNAcentral. Lineage: Bacteria; Candidatus Woeseibacteriota.
GGCGCGUCCGCCUAAGUGGUAGGGCACCGGUCUGUAAAAUCGGGAUAACGGGUUCAACUCCCGUACGCGCCA